CCAGACUCCUACGGGAGGCAGCAGUGAGGGAUAUUGGUCAAUGGGGGAAACCCUGAACCAGCAACGCCGCGUGAGGGAAGACGGUUUUCGGAUUGUAAACCUCUGUCCUCUGUGAAGAUAAUGACGGUAGCAGAGGAGGAAGCUCCGGCUAACUACGUGCCAGCAGCCGCGGUAAUACGUAGGGAGCGAGCGUUGUCCGGAUUUACUGGGUGUAAAGGGUGCGUAGGCGGCCCUGCAAGUCAGAAGUGAAAGCCCGUGGCUCAACCGCGGAACCGCUUUGGAAACUGCGAGGCUGGAGUGCUGGAGAGGUAAGCGGAAUUCCUGGUGUAGCGGUGAAAUGCGUAGAUAUCAGGAGGAACACCGGUGGCGAAGGCGGCUUACUGGACAGUGACUGACGUUGAGGCUCGAAAGCGUGGGGAGCGAACAGGAUUAGAUACCCUCGUAUG
Molecule: ribosomal RNA, 446 nt
Filed under: uncultured bacterium
Lineage: Bacteria
Description: bacterial SSU rRNA
Rfam family: Bacterial small subunit ribosomal RNA
Source: RNAcentral